GGUCAUGAGUGCCAGCGACAGCCCCGGCUUGCUGGCCGGCAACCCUCUUUUGCGGUGGGGUGCCCCGGGUGAGGACCUGGCCUGCCGGUCAAUUGACGGCGGGCAAGCGCAUAGA
Molecule: non-coding RNA, 115 nt
Filed under: Arthrobacter sp.
Lineage: Bacteria; Bacillati; Actinomycetota; Actinomycetes; Micrococcales; Micrococcaceae
Description: SAM-IV sequence
Rfam family: SAM (S-adenosyl methionine) riboswitch aptamer
About the family: SAM-IV is a mRNA element that regulates gene expression via direct sensing of S-adenosylmethionine (SAM or AdoMet).
Source: RNAcentral